AGAGUUUGAUCCUGGCUCAGGAUGAACGAUGGCAACAUGCUUAACACAUGUAAGUCGAACGCGAAGUGAUGUUUCUAGUGGCAGACGGGUGAGUAAGGCGUAAGAACCAGUCCUUGAGAUGGGAACAACAACUGGAAACGAUUAUUAAUAUCCCGUAGGCUAAGAAGCAAAAGGAGGAAUCCACUUAAGGAGGGGCUCUCGUCUAAUUAGCUAGUUGGUGAGGCAAUAGCUUACCAAGGCGAUGACCAGUAGCUGGUUUGAAAGGAUGAUUAGUAGCUAGUUCGAGAGGAUAAUCAGCUACACUGGGACUGAGACACGGCCUAGACUCAUACGGGAGACACCAGUGGGGAAUUUUCCGCAAUAGGUGAAAAACUGACGGAGCAGUACUGUGUGGAGGUAGAAGGGCCAUGGGCCAUGAACUUCUUUUCUUCGAAAAGCAAUAACGGUAUCUGAGGAAUAAACAUCGGUUAACUCUAUGCCAGCAACCAUGAUAAGACAGAGGAUGCAUGCAUUAUCUAGAAUGAUUGGAUAUAAAGCGUCUAUAGGUGGCUUUUCAAGCCCGCCGUCAAAUCCCAAGCUCAAGCUUAGAUAGGUGGUGCAAACUACCAAGUUAAAGUACAGUAGGGGCAGAGGGAAUUUCCGGUGGAACGGUAAAAUGCAUAGAGAUAAAAAAAAAUACCAACAAUGAAAGCACUCUACUAGGCAAACACUAAAACUGAGUGAUAAAAGUUAGGGAAGCAAAUGGGAUUAGCUACCCCGCUAGUCCUAGCCGUAAAUGCUGGAUACUAGGCAUUGUGCGUAUUGACCAGUGCAACAUUGUAGCAAACGCAUUAAAUAUCUCGCCUGGGGAAUACGUUAGCAAGAAUGAAACUCAAAGGAAUUGACAGGGUCCAGCACAAGCAGUGGAGCAUGUAAUUCGACGCAAAGCGAAGAACCUUACUAGGGCUUGACACGUAGCGAAUCGUCUUAAAAGAGAAGGGUGCCCUUGGGAACAAGGACACAGGUGGUGCAUGGUUAUCGUUAGCUUGUGCCGUAAGGUGUUGGGUUAAGCCUCACAACAAGCGACACCCUCAUGUUCAGUUGUCAGCAUUGAGUUUGGAAUUCUGAACAAACUACUGGUCAUAAGCUAUUGGAAGAUGAGGAUGACGUUAAGUCAUUAUGCCCCUUAUGCUAUAGGAGGCCCACGUGCUACAAUGGGCGGAACAAAGGGUUGUGAUCCUAUGAGGGUGAGUUAACUCCAAAAACCCAUCGUCAGUUUGGAUUGCAAGCUGCAACUUGCUUGCAUGAAGUCGGAAUCACUAGUAAUCACCGAUCAGCCAUACACAAUAGGAGUUGUACACACAGCCUUUUACACUAUAGGAGUUGGCUAUACCCAAAAUCGUUACCUUAACCGCAACGAGGGGGAUGCCGAAGGUAAUCGUUACCUUAACCGCAACGAGGGGGAUGCCGAAGGUGGGGCUA
Molecule: ribosomal RNA, 1461 nt
Filed under: Dioscorea alata (purple yam)
Lineage: Eukaryota; Viridiplantae; Streptophyta; Magnoliopsida; Dioscoreales; Dioscoreaceae
Description: bacterial SSU rRNA
Rfam family: Bacterial small subunit ribosomal RNA
Source: RNAcentral